CCUACGGGUGGCAGCAGUGAGGAAUAUUGGUCAAUGGACGAGAGUCUGAACCAGCCAAGUAGCGUGAAGGAUGACUGCCCUAUGGGUUGUAAACUUCUUUUAUAUGGGAAUAAAAUGUUCCACGUGUGGGAUUUUGUAUGUACCAUAUGAAUAAGGAACGGCUAACUCCGUGCCAGCAGCAGCGGUAAUACGGAGGAUCCGAGCGUUAUCCGGAUUUAUUGGGUUUAAAGGGAGCGUAGGUGGAUUGUUAAGUCAGUUGUGAAAGUUUGCGGCUCAACCGUAAAAUUGCAGUUGAAACUGGCAGUCUUGAGUACAGUAGAGGUGAGCGGAAUUCGUGGUGUAGCGGUGAAAUGCUUAGAUAUCACGAAGAACUCCGAUUGCGAAGGCAGUUCACUGGACUGCAACUGACACUGAGGCUCGAAAGUGUGGGUAUCAAACAGGAUUAGAUACCCGUGUAGUC
Molecule: ribosomal RNA, 460 nt
Filed under: uncultured bacterium
Lineage: Bacteria
Description: partial 16S ribosomal RNA
Rfam family: Bacterial small subunit ribosomal RNA
Source: RNAcentral